UAAUACGGAGGGUGCAAGCGUUAAUCGGAAUUACUGGGCGUAAAGAGUGCGUAGGCGGUUUGAUAAGCGGAGUGUGAAAUCCCCGGGCUUAACCUGGGAACUGCAUUCCGAACUGUCAAGCUAGAGUAUGAUAGAGGGUGGUGGAAUUCCGAGUGUAGCGGUGAAAUGCGUAGAUAUUCGGAGGAACACCAGUGGCGAAGGCGACCACCUGGAUCAAUACUGACGCUGAGGUACGAAAGCGUGGGGAGCAAACAGGAUUAGAUACCCUGGUAGUCCACGCCGUAAACGAUGUCAACUAGCCGUUGGACUCUUUAAGGGUUUAGUGGUGCAGCUAACGCGAUAAGUUGACCGCCUGGGGAGUACGGUCGCAAGAUUA
Molecule: ribosomal RNA, 376 nt
Filed under: uncultured bacterium
Lineage: Bacteria
Description: bacterial SSU rRNA
Rfam family: Bacterial small subunit ribosomal RNA
Source: RNAcentral